GUUCCUGUGGCGCAGUUGGUUAGCGCAGUCGGCCGUUAACCGAAAGGUUGGUGGUUCGAGUCCACCCAGGGACG
This 74-nucleotide transfer RNA is filed under the name Astyanax mexicanus (Mexican tetra). It matches the Rfam family "tRNA". Rfam says of the family: Transfer RNA (tRNA) molecules are approximately 80 nucleotides in length. Their secondary structure includes four short double-helical elements and three loops (D, anti-codon, and T loops). The record is from Rfam by way of RNAcentral. Lineage: Eukaryota; Metazoa; Chordata; Actinopteri; Characiformes; Acestrorhamphidae.